CGAGUUCGCGGGAGAGUAAGUUAUUGCCAGGGUUUUUAUUUUGUAUUUUAAGCCUUGAUUUUAUUUUUAUAGUAUUUGAAUAAAACAUUCAAAUACUAUAAAAAUAAAAUAGAUAUUGACAUGGGUUAAACAAAGAUAUAUAUUAUUCUAUGUUACAUAAACAAAUUGGCAAAGUAGAGAUGGAAGAUAAAAAUAUGGUCAAAGUAAUAAGAGUCUAUGGUGAAUGCCUA
RNAcentral lists this unclassified non-coding RNA (230 nucleotides) under Borreliella japonica. Its description in RNAcentral is "partial 5S-23S ribosomal RNA spacer". Lineage: Bacteria; Pseudomonadati; Spirochaetota; Spirochaetia; Spirochaetales; Borreliaceae. The record is from RNAcentral.